Molecule: microRNA, 21 nt
Filed under: Gadus morhua (Atlantic cod)
Lineage: Eukaryota; Metazoa; Chordata; Actinopteri; Gadiformes; Gadidae
Description: gmo-miR-727-5p
Gene: gmo-miR-727-5p
Source: miRBase by way of RNAcentral
UCAGUCUUCAAUUCCUUCCAG